This is a long non-coding RNA of Gallus gallus (chicken), 1369 nucleotides long. The record is from Ensembl. NCBI's taxonomy places the organism in Eukaryota, Metazoa, Chordata, Aves, Galliformes, Phasianidae.
CUACACAAGCAGGACAAGUUUGGUGUAUGAAUAGUGGGUUCCGUAUACCAACCUCAGCUGUCCAUGCAGAGAAGUUAUCUGAGUGUGGUCUCAUAUGUGUGCCUUCUAAAAAACGGAAUGAUCAAAAGCACAAUGAAAACCAAUUAUUUCAGUUUAAAAGGGUCAUGUUUGAAAGUCAAAUGACUUAGCUUUUAGAAUUGAUGCAUAAACAAAGUACCUGUGUGACUCUGUUUCCUUUCCAUUACUGAUAUCUGCUGAUUUAAGUGAUAGUCUGCCAGGAGAUGAGCUUUUUUGGGGGGAAGGAGGAUUAUAGUACCUAUGCUUCAAGAGAAAAGAUUGCUGUGACGUCUUUAAGAUUUGUGGGGUAAAAUGUUGUUUUUCUAUGAAGCAAACCGAGUAUUUGUCAAGGAGGUCCCCAGAGUACGUUUUGUUAGAAGAGUUUUGAAAUGCCUUCUUCCUGUUGUGACUGUUUAAAUGCAAAUGAGACUGCUGGAGCUGCAAAGCAGAUGACCUGUCUUUACCAAAGACAGGAGCAGGAUUCUGACACAAGCUAUGCUGAGCAGUCUUCUUUGCAGAAGAAGCUGGCAACAGAGUUCUUGUACCGAGUGCCUGAAAAGAUACAGAGGGAAGCUGCGCUCUCUCUGUCCUGGAAUAGCCAUUUUCCAACAGCAAACACCUCACCUGCAAGUUAGAGAACAAAAUACCCCCCCUUCAAAAAAUCACAAAAGCAAUCUGUUGAUUUCAGUGCCUCCUACAAACUGAUUCACUAAGAAGGAAGUUUAAGAACCAGCUUUCAAACUGCUUCAAGUGGUCUAAAUGACUUGCAGUUAGAAGUAAAGCAGUGCUGUCACUGCGCUACAGCUAGUUAUUAACAUGUCCCUUUUCUAGUUUCCUUUUCCUUCCUUCUCUGUGCAAAGUUGAGGUUUCUCAUGACAGGUACUCUUAGGAAAUUACAGAAAUUCCUCUUUCCUUGCCAGGGUUCACAGAGGGAGAAGAGAUUUUUCCUUCCUUGGUCAUCAUCAUUCUCACGGCAAUCCUCUUUAGGAGCCGUGAGAUGACACCUUCUACUCACUCUCCUUGAAGGACUAUUCAGGUAGUAUACGAAGCAGACAACCACUUCUCUUUAUGGUGGGUGCUUGAUGCUUCAGAAGCACACAUCCGUAUACGAAAUAAAUAAAUGCAACCCAGGGCUUCAUUAUGUCACCCACAUGGUAGGUAACAAGUUGUGGAGGCACAACAGAGCACAAUAUUUUGUUCCCAUCUCCUGCCCACUCUUUUUCCCCUGUCCUAGACAAGAACUCGUGCAAGUCAAAACAGAAGAAAAGAUGUUGUAAUGAAGUCUCUGAGAUUCAAGCCUGAGUGACCAAAG